RNAcentral lists this transfer RNA (62 nucleotides) under Furcilarnaca armata. RNAcentral's name for it is "tRNA-Thr". It matches the Rfam family "tRNA". Rfam says of the family: Transfer RNA (tRNA) molecules are approximately 80 nucleotides in length. Their secondary structure includes four short double-helical elements and three loops (D, anti-codon, and T loops). Further hydrogen bonds mediate the characteristic L-shaped molecular structure. tRNAs have two regions of fundamental functional importance: the anti-codon, which is responsible for specific mRNA codon recognition, and the 3' end, to which the tRNAs corresponding amino acid is attached (by aminoacyl-tRNA synthetases). tRNAs cope with the degeneracy of the genetic code in two manners: having more than one tRNA (with a specific anti-codon) for a particular amino acid; and 'wobble' base-pairing, i.e. permitting non-standard base-pairing at the 3rd anti-codon position. Lineage: Eukaryota; Metazoa; Arthropoda; Insecta; Orthoptera; Gryllacrididae. RNAcentral also lists the same sequence under 1 other name. The record is from RNAcentral.
GUUUUAAUAGUUUAAUCAAAACGUUGGUCUUGUAAACCAAAAUUAAGGACUCUUUUAAAACU